CAGUAGCCGCGGUAAAACGAGAGGUGCAAGCGUUAUUCGGAAUUAUUGGGCGUAAAGGGUGCGUAGACGGUGUGCUAAGUCUGUUGUUAAAUCUUUCGGCUUAACCGAAAAUCUGCAAUGGAAACUGGCAUGCUAGAGUGUGAAAGAGAGAAGUGGAAUUCUUGGAGUAGCGGUAAAAUGCGUAGAUCUCAAGAGGAACACCGAUGGCGAAGGCAGCUUCUUGGUUCACUACUGACGUUGAGGCACGAAAGCGUGGGGAGCAAACAGGAUUAGAUACCCCUGUAGUCCCUGUCUCUUAUAU
RNAcentral lists this ribosomal RNA (301 nucleotides) under uncultured bacterium. RNAcentral describes it as "partial 16S ribosomal RNA". It matches the Rfam family "Bacterial small subunit ribosomal RNA", at positions 509 to 809 of the family's 1533-position model. The record is from RNAcentral.